RNAcentral lists this long non-coding RNA (977 nucleotides) under Zonotrichia albicollis (white-throated sparrow). RNAcentral describes it as "lncRNA (ENSZALG00000001053.1)". The record is from RNAcentral. Lineage: Eukaryota; Metazoa; Chordata; Aves; Passeriformes; Passerellidae.
CUGGCCCAGGUGUGGAGCAGGUGUUGGGUUGCUGGGCUGGAGCCCGGCCAGGAGCCUGCUCCUCCUCCCUGGUGUUCCUCCCCAGGAGCCUGCUCCUCCCUCCUCAGUGCUCUUCCCCAGAACUCCCUUCCUCCCUCAGUUUUCUUCCCCAGAAUUCCUUUUCUCACUCAGUUUUCUUCCCCAGAAUUCCCUUCCUCCCUCAGUUUUCUUCCCCAGAAUUCCCUUCCUCCUCAGUUUUCUUCCCCAGAAUUCCUUUUCUCACUCAGUUUUCUUCCCCAGAAUUCCCUUCCUCACUCAGUUUUCUUCCAUAGAAUUCCCUUCCUCUCUCAGUUUUCUUCCCUGAAAUUCAGUUUCUCAUUCAGUUUUCCUCCCCAAAAUUCAGUUCCUCACUCGGUUUUCCUCCCCAGAAUUCCAUUCUUUGCUCAAUUUUCACCCCAGGAGCCUGUUCCUCGCUCAGUUUCCCUCCCCAUCCGUCUGGGCAGAGCUGGGCUGGGCUGGGUUUGGUUUUCCUGCUGUCCCUGACCUUUGGGAGGGCUGGGAUGUGAUUCCAGGCCCUGGGAGCUGCAGCCCGGGUUCAAUGAGAGCUGAUCCGAGGCCUUGGGUCCUGCCAGGAUUGUGGAAUGGGGGUGUCAGUGCUGAUCCAUGGCCUUGGGUCCUUCCAGGUCUAUGGAAUUGAGGUGUCAGUGCUGAUCCAUGGCCUUGGGUCCUGCCAGGGUCAGGGAAUUGGGGUGUCAGUGCUGAUCCAUGGCCUUGGGUCCUUUCAGGUCUAUGGAAUCAAGGUGUCAGUGGUGUUCCAUGUCCCCAGGUCCUUCCAGGGUCAAGGAACGGGGCUGUCAGUGCUGAUCCAUGUGCUCAGGUCCAGGUCUAUGGAAUGGGGGUGUCAGGGGUGGUUCCCAUGUCCCCAGGUCCUUCCUGGGCUGUGGAAGGACUCAAGUGCUGAUCUGUGGCCUCAGGUCCUUCCAGGUUUAUGGAAUGGG